CCUGGUUGAUCCUGCCAGUAGUCAUAUGCUUGUCUCAAAGAUUAAGCCAUGCAUGUCUAAGUUUAAGUACUAUGAAUGACGAAACUGCGAACGGCUCAUUAAAACAGUGAUAAUUGAUUUGAUGGACAUUCUACACGGAUAACCGUGGGAAACCAAGGCUAAUACGUGCAUAAGACUUCGGUCUGAGUUUAUUAGCUUAAGAUCCAUUUUGUGAUGGUUCAUGGUAAAUUAUCGGAUCGCACGCUUUCAGCGGCGAUGGUUCAUUCAAGUCUCUGACCUAUCAGCUUUCGACGGUCGGGUAUUGGCCCACCGUGGCUUUGACGGGUGACGGGGAAUUAGGGUUCGAUUCCGGAGAGGGAGCCUGAGAAACGGCUACCACGUCUAAGGAUGGCAGCAGGCGCGUAAAUUACCCAAUUCUGACAUAGAGAGGUAGUGACAAGAAAUAGCAACGUGAGGCAAUAGCUUUGCGAUUGCAAUGAGUAGAAUCUACACGUUUCUACGAGUAACAAUUGGAGGGCAAGUCUGGUGCCAGCAGCCGCGGUAAUUCCAGCUCCAAUAGCGUAUAUUAAAGUUGUUGCAGUUAAAACGCUCGUAGUUGAAUAUCUGCUAUAUGUGGUCGGUCCACUUCGGUGUGAUCCGUUUCACGAAAUAGCAUUCGUUUGCUUUGAUUUAUCAUUGCAAACCGUUUACUUUGAGGAAAUUAGAGUGUUCAAAGCAGGCAAGUGCCUUGAAUACUUCAGCAUGGAAUAAUUGAUAGGACUUCCGUUCUGUCGUUGGUUCUGGGAAUGUGAAGUAAUGAUUAAAAGGGGCGGGCGGGGGCAUUCGUAUUGAACAGUCAGAGGUGAAAUUCUUAGAUUUGUUCAAGACGAACUACUGCGAAAGCAUUUGCCAAGUACGCUCCCAUUAAUCAAGAACGAAAGUUAGGGGAUCGAAGACGAUCAGAUACCGUCGUAGUCUUAACUAUAAACUAUGCCGACUAGAGAUUGGAGGUGAGUCAUUUGGCCACCUUCAGCAUCUUCAGAGAAAUCUAAGUUUUUGGGUUCUGGGGGGAGUAUGGUCGCAAGGCUGAAACUUAAAGGAAUUGACGGAAGGGCACCACCAGGAGUGGAGCCUGCGGCUUAAUUUGACCCAACACGGGGAAACUCACCAGGUCCAGACAUGGGAAGGAUUGACAGACUGAUAGCUCUUUCUUGAUUCUAUGGGUGGUGGUG
This 1211-nucleotide ribosomal RNA is filed under the name metagenome. Its description in RNAcentral is "SSU rRNA". It matches the Rfam family "Eukaryotic small subunit ribosomal RNA", at positions 3 to 1282 of the family's 1831-position model. The record is from RNAcentral.